Molecule: ribosomal RNA, 301 nt
Filed under: uncultured bacterium
Lineage: Bacteria
Description: partial 16S ribosomal RNA
Rfam family: Bacterial small subunit ribosomal RNA
Source: RNAcentral
CAGUAGCCGCGGGAAUACGAAGGGUGCAAGCGUUACUCAGAAUUACUGGGCGUAAAGCGUGCGUAGGUGGUGGUUUAAGUCCGUUGUGAAAGCCCUGGGCUCAACCUGGGAAUUGCAGUGGAUACUGGGUCACUAGAGUGUGGUAGAGGAUAGUGGAAUUUCCGGUGUAGCAGUGAAAUGCGUAGAGAUCGGAAGGAACAUCUGUGGCGAAGGCGACUAUCUGGGCCAACACUGACACUGAGGCACGAAAGCGUGGGGAGCAAACAGGAUUAGAUACCCCUGUAGUCCCUGUCUCUUAUAC